This 353-nucleotide long non-coding RNA is filed under the name Homo sapiens (human). RNAcentral describes it as "HSALNT0041059". Lineage: Eukaryota; Metazoa; Chordata; Mammalia; Primates; Hominidae. The record is from RNAcentral.
GGAGAAUGCCCUAUGAAGAUGAGGGCAGCAAUUGGGAUGAUACAGCAGAAGCCAAGGAAUGCCAAAGACUCAGAUCAAGACCCCAGAAACUAAGAAAGCAGGAUGGAAGACUCUCCUUCACAACCAAGAGAAGGAAGUAACCCUGACAUCACCUUGAUCUCAGAUUUCUAGGCUCCUACAACUGAGUUUGAACUGCACAGAUCCACUUAUAUGUGGAUUUUCUUCCACCUCUACCACCUCUGAGACAGCAAGAACAACCCGUCUUCUGCCUCCUCCUCCUCAGCCUGCUCAACAUGAAGACAAUGAGGAUGAAGAACUUUAUGAUGAUCCACUUCCACUUAAUGAAAAGUAAA